UUGUGGGCAGGAAGAAAACAGGAGUGUUGCAAUCAGAGUGUUCACCUUUCUCCCCUGUGCUCGAUAAGGUUUUGGGAAAAUAGCAGCAUUCUUUUCAAAAGUCAGGUCAGCAGUCUCUCAGCACUCCGGUUUCCCAAUCCCACUUUGCAAAGUCAAAUAAAACAAAGCUCUUGGCUCAAAUUGAGUUAUCAGCAAACAUCUCCCUGCUCUCUGGAAGAAUGUGUUCUGUACCAAGAAUCUUCUGAAUUAACAUUUCCUGCUGGAAAAGCAGCUUAAUCUUUCAGUGAAGCAUGUGAUGGUAGACUUGAAGUCCGGGGUUUGGGGCUGUGUCUACUCAGUUGUCUUGGACAAGCAGCAGAAUUAUGGACUCGGCUUCUGGAGCCAUACUUUGUGGCUCUGAGUUGGCUCUGCCGCCAGGUAUAAACACUUGCAUAAUACAUGAACACAUAUGCAUGAAAUAAAAUGAAGCUGUCCAUAACGUUCCUCUAAAAUGCAGAAGAAAAUUUAAUUAAACGUAAAUGAGUCCACCCAAAGCAAGAAAUGCAGGUCCUUUGGUCUAAAUCGGCAUGUGGCAGCUUGGAAUGAGGAGGGUUUGGUUCAAGAAUUACCAUCUCACGGAAUCCACAUGAAGAAUAAGCUGCCCGUUGGUUACAUAUGUGCAGGGGACCUAGGUCCAGUCCAUGCAUGGUCCUUACUUGGUGCUUCAGACUCCGCAAGCCCACCUGGGCCCAGAGAUCAGACCUCCACUCUUGCCUGAUGCGUCCAAAACAAAAAGGGGGAACUGUAGAGAGCUGCGUAAUGCCGCGCCUCAAAGAUGGAGCUGGUUUCUGCCUUCCACCUUCCUGAUGGAGCCCACAGUUAAGAGACUUUGGAGUUCCAACAAUAUUUUAUUUUAUGUUUAUGAGUAUCAUGCCUGCAUGUAUAUCUGUGCACCACAUGCAUGCCUGGUACCUAUGGAAGCCGAAAGAACGUGGUGGAUCCCAUGAGACUGGAGUUACAGAGAGUUGUAAGUCACUAUGUGGGUUCCAGGAAUCAAACCCAGGUCUGGAAGAACAGCCCAUGCUCCUAUCAUCAGCCAUCUCUCCAGCUCGGAAUUAGAAUUUUAAAGAGAAAUUGGACUUGUAAAUUGUUAGAGUUUUAAAAUGACUGAAACUUUUACUGACUGUGGUUUUUAUUAUAAUAUUAACACAAGCUUUUUUUUUGGGGGGGAGAAAUUUAAAGCAGAUGGCUUAAAGAUGUUUGUGGGUCAAAGUGGACUAAAAGUGAGAAGUCAUAGAGUUGAUGGAUAUGACAAGGAAUUAGACAUAUCUGAGAAGAAAAAAUAUCAACAAAAGAAUCUCCUCUAUAACACUGAGCUGAGGGCCUGUCUCCAGGGCAUUUUAUUGAGUUAUGAUUGAUGUGUAAGGGCCCACCUAAUUGUGGUCAGUGAAAUCUCUGAGCAAGUGGUCCUAGACUGUCUAAUAAAGGUAGCCAACUAAGCCAGUACUCCCCCCUGGUCUCUGCUUCCUUUUGCUUCUGUUUUCAGGUUGCCCUGAGUUGCUUCCCUGACUUCCCAUAAUGGUGGGCUGUGAUGUGGAAGUAUAAGCUAAACAGGGCCUUUCCUCCCUGAGGCGCUUUGGGUCAUGGCAUUUAUCACAACAAUGGAAGGCAAACAAAGGCAAUUUAAAACAUACAAUUUGUUCAUUGUAGGUACAUAGACAAUUAACUUUUGUAUGUUGCUGUACUAAUUUAUUAGUCUAGAGAGAUUUUGUGGUAUAUUAAUUGGGAAGACUGAAGAAUAGUGAGGAGAGCCAAAACCUACCUAGGAAAGUAGAAUUUAGUUUUAGAGUGUGCUCAAGGAAUUUUGAAAUGGAAGCUUUUCCUUGCCAUGUACAGUUGUGCUCUUUGUUUUGUGUGUUUUAAUAUGAAAAUGUAUAAUGUUUCUGGAGGUAAAGCUCAUGAAUAUAUAAGGUUCCCCAUGUACCUGAGGCCCCAGAGGUUCCCCACGCUCAGGCUAGACCACACUCAACUCCAGCAAUGUGCCAAACGUUCUUGUUAAACAUUCCUACUGAUGACUCCAGUGGUUUCUGUUCUGGAUGACUCAAACUCAGUGACUGUUUGGAUUCAAGUUUGUUCAGGUUUGAAAUUGGCUGUGUACCUUACAACUUACCUACCAGAGUUUUCUUUAAUCAUUGAUUUCACUGUUUUUCAGGUUUUGUAUCAUUAUAAGAUUACAAAUGUUGACUUUCAAUAUUUUUUAUAUUGAACUAGACUCUCCCAAUUCAACUUCUUUGUUUGUACUUGGAUUUGCAGUUGUGCCAGCAAUAUUUGCUGAUUUAUUUCUCUCGAUUGGCAUUCUUGUGAAAACACUGAUCCAUAGAUGUAAGGGACUAUUCCCACGUUCUCAAACUUAGUCUAUUGAUCUGUGACUAUGUCAGGACCAUAUUCUCUUGAUUACAGUGGAAUGUAGUCAGGUUUGAAGUAGCUUUCCAAGAUAGGCUGUUCUGAUUCCUUGCAUUUCCAUUGGAACUUUAAGAGAGCAUGUCGAUAUCAGCAAAGAAACCAGAUGAGAUUUUAAUGUUGUCUUCAUCAAGUUUGUCACUGAACCAGAAAGUCUUCCUAUUUCAACAGCAUAAGUGCUUGAACUCUUUUCUUCAUUUGUUCCUUUCCAUAUAUUUCACUUCUUUUGUUAAAUGUAUUUCUAAAUAUUUUAGUUAUUUUGAUGGGUGGGAUUGGGAGGAAACAAAGGAGGGGAGGGCCCACAGCGGGGAUACAAAUUGAAUAAAUUGUAAUAAAUGAUAAUAAUAAAAAAAAGAAAAGAAAAAAGAAGAAAAUGGCUGAUUGAAGACAUUGUCAAAGGAGUCAAAAGGAAGUGGGGCAAAGCUGACACACUAGUUUUGAGAAACCUUACAGUUUUUCUUCAUCAGGGAACAGGGGUGUAACAAUGAAAGAGCACGUGAGCUAUACACUUUAAAGCUGUUAAUGGAAAGCCAACAUCUGCUUGAGGGAAUCCUUGACAACUUUGAUUUCUCUGUGAUGUAGGGAGUGAAUGAUUGAAGGGAAGGGUUUGAAAAGAGUGGCAAAGUUUGAAAUAAUUAUUUGGAAAACUAUUUGGAACCUGGGAAUUAAAGUAAGUCUUUAACAUGGAAACUCUGUAAUAAAAAUUCUCUGAAGUCAUCUUUAUACAAAGGAUUUUAUUUAAAGAGAAUAGAGAAUUCUCUGGAGUCUCCUUGCAGCAAAUUUCCAUUAUUGCUGAGGCAACUGCAAUCAGACCUGAGUGAAGGCAGAUGUAUGAAGGUUCCUUGGUGUGCUCCUACCUUCUGGUGAGCUGGCCAAGAAAGCCUAAGGAAAUUUUUAAUUAAGCUUGUGUGUACUAUUCUAUUAUCAAAGCCCAUUCGACUUUGUCCUCCAGCAGUCCCAGUCACUUCCUGAGCUCCUUAUCAUCUCUGAAAUGUAUCAGGGAGAAAAUGACUUCUCCCCAGACCCCUGAUGGGGACAAUAAGCCUGACUCUGGCCUGGACAGGACGAUCCUAAUCCUGCUUCAGGGCCUGAAGAGAAAACCCUGGAAUGUGUUCUUUGACUAAAAACUGAAAUUCCAGCGUAUACAUGAGCUCUUGGAAUAGAUGCCUUAACUCUGGGCAGGUAAGGUUUGUGACUUUGAAUACAGAAGGGUUAUGGACUGGGUAUCAUGAUCUUUCACUCACAUUUGUAUAUUAAAACUCUGACCCUAUGGAGGUGGUGCUUGUAGAUGGGCUUUUUUGAGGUAGUUGAGGAUUAGAUAAGGUUCUGAAGGUGAGGCUCCCUCUGUCCGUGCACACACAGGGGUAACAUGUUCACAGACUAAGAAGCUGCCUACAAGCCCAGAGGAGAGACUACAGAGUGAGCACUGGCCUGCUCACACCUUGCUUUUGGGUUUCUAGUCUUUAUAAUUGAGAAACUAGUUUUCUACUUUUAAAACCAUCUAGUUUAUAGUCUUCCGAAGUGCCAUCCUGAGCUGAAAGAGAACGCAGGAUUUGCUAAGUACCAGCUAUGCUUGAGGCAUCCUUCGUCAUUUAGUUACUGAGACAGUGCUAGGAGGUGCCAGUUGUUUCCAGACGAUUGCAAGGUCACCGUAAACCUGUCUCAUUGUAAGGUUGGAAUCUUACUAUUUAUUCUUUAAGAUAAUAGUUAAAAUGAUGGCAAGUUCUGGACUUGGCACAUCAAAUGUUUCUUAGAAUUUUAUUUUUAUUAUUUUUAAUCAUGUGUGUGCGCACACAUAUGAAUAUACAGAAAUAAGUGAGUGCAGGUGCCUGUGGAAGAUCCUCCUGGAGGUGGAAUUACAGGCAGUUGUGAGCCACCUGACAUGGGCACAGUUACAAAUUGUAUGUUUCCUCUGGGUACAGCCUGGUUAACAAGGAGUUUAGUUGUUUUCCAUUUUCACUAUUUUGAAUAAAUGUUCUUUUGUAAGAAGUAAAUUGAGAGUUUGUAAUGGAGGUUCAGUGUAAGAAGACUUCAGAGAAUUCUCAGCUCUUUUAAAAUGGAAUCCAUUGUCUAAAGAUGACUUUGGAGGGUUGUUAUUAGACAGUUUCCAUGUUAAAGGAGUACUCUAAUUUAUCUUUUUCUCACUUUCUAGAGCAGACUCUCAAUACUAUUGUCUGCUUGUCUUGAUUGUUGUCCCUUGUUCACUCAGAUGCUGAUUUCUCUCCCCCACUAUCUGGUUUCAAUCCGGACAUUGCAUUGUGAUGCUUAUUCUAAUCAUGACCUGUCUCAAGUUUGUGUAAAUAUGCCACAAUUUGUUCUUCAACUUGUCAACUAAAACAACCAGCCCACAAUGUUGAGCAAUGGAGAGGAUAGGGUGGGGCAUCCUGGUUAAGAGUGGGAGGAAGAAGGAAACAGGAGAAGAGGAAGGAGUAUAAGGGAGGAGAGGAGAGAAGCAGGGAGAGAGCAGAGGCUGGAGGAGAGGUCUUGGAAUGACAUGGAGAAAUGAACUGGACCUAAGAUAUCACUAAAAGCAAGUAUAAUGGGUGAAUCUGAAUGGUAGGAAACUAUGCGGGCUUGGAGGUUUAGGAUGGAGUAACUAUUGCCCAGCAUUGUGUUCUAGGUUAACUAAAUAAAUCUUAGUCUCUGUGUGGUGAUUUGGUUAAAGAGCUGUUUAGGAUUAACCACAGCUUUACUAAAAGAUAUAUCAAUAGUAAAUAUUAAUUACCAAAUACAACAAAUUCUGUAGGUCUCUGAACCUUGUUUUGAAUACAACACUAUACCCUCCAUAUGCUCUGCUUAGUGCUCUGUGUUUUGGUUUUUAGCAUUCCUGAGUAUUUACCUGGAUGACCCAAGUCAGUGUAUCAUAGAUGCCUAAUCUUCAGUGUUUAUCACAGCAUUAGUACCAUCUGAAUGCCUCAAGGACAGGAAUGGAGCUGGUCCCCGAAUCAGUAGUGGCCUCCCUUAGCUGUGGGAAGUAUACCUGAACGCAAUUAGGAUUAGGGUUUGGGUUAGGGUUAGGGUUAGGGCCAGGGUUACUGUACUCUCUACAGUAGCCAAGUUAUAGAACUAACCUUGGUAUCUACUCAGAGAGGAAUAAAGAAAACAAUGUGGUCCAUAUACACAGUCAAAUAUUUUUCGGCCAUAGAGAAGAAUGAAGUGAUAUUAUUUGCAGGAAAAAGGAGGCAACUAGAGAACAUGGUCAGUAAACUGUCAAUGUCAGAGAAAGAAAUAUGUUUAUCUCAUUUGUGCUUCUUAGACUUUAUGGUUUUAUAAAAUCAUAAUUAUAUGAGGACGUGAAUUAAAAGUGAAACCAAUUGGGAGACAUAGGGGACUAAUAGGAGGAGGGCUAGAGAAGGGAGGGCAAUGGGGUGUGGGAGGGAGUGUGAUCAAAGUGCAGUGAGCACUUCGUGAGAAUGACCUAUGGAACCCAGAAUAAUAUAUAAAUAGAUUAUUAUAAAAUAAUCAUAAUGAAAACUGGCCAUGCUAGUCCACUCUAAGUGGAGAGUCCAGUGGUACUAAGUACUUUCACUUUAUUGAAUAAGCAUCACCACCAUCCAUCUUUAGAUCCUUUUCAUUACCCCAAAUGUAAUGAUUGUAUUUAGUAAACACAACCAGUCCAUUGCAAUCUCCAGGCCAUUCUGUGUCAGAGUCUAACUACUCCAGGUACAUCAUAUAGUUGGAGUUAUAUGAUCUUUGAUCUUACAUGUCUGGCUUAUUUUACCUAGCAUUGUGUUCUUACCUAUCAGUGGACUAGGGGAGGGGCAUAGAUGGAGAAGGGGGACUGGGAUCAGAUGAGGGAGGGGGCUACAGCCGGGAUACAAAGUAAACAAAUUGUAAUAAAUAUUAAUAAAAAUAAACAAAAAUAAAAAGCAUAUCAUAGUAGGAAUGUCUUCAGAUUUGCAACUGGAAGUGGAUUUGGGGGUCAAUUCUUUGAGAUUACCUUUAGUAAUAAAUUAUGAGAAUUCAAUGGAGAAAAAGAAAAGAUUAAUCCAUGAUGCAGUGUGUAUCUUUUUCAUUUUUUUUGGCUAAAGCUGCAACACACACACACACACACACACACACAAAUACACAUUUGUUUAUGAGUUCUUCUGUCAAUGAACUUUUAUGUUGUUUAUACCCAUUGGCUAUUAUGAGUGAUUCUGUUAUGGUAUGUGUUCUAUGACAUUAUUCUUGGGGAGAUGUGAACAAAUCUUUACUCCCUAGAAAGGAAACCAAGAGCCCAAAUACUGCUAAAGUUCAACUUGGUGAACUAAUGAAUUUUAUUGGGAUUAUUUCUAGGAAUAUGGGUGAGGGGUUACUUAUAGAAUCAAAAGUUACAGAGACAGCUGCAUCACCAAAAGCCCACCCAGCAUGGGUGACAAUUCACAAAUUUUGGAAAUCAUGGGUAUAUUCCACAACCUCUACGAAACUCAAUAGGUUGAAGAACAUUCUUUGUAGAUAGUUCAGUUGGUCUCAUCCUCUUCUGGUCUCAGCACACUUGAGGGUGACUCUCAGCAGUCCUUGCUGGUCAUAUAUGCUUGUGGAGAGAGGAUCCUAUUGAAUCUAGUUAAUUUCAGGGACUUCCUGUAGCUGUUUUGAGUUGUAUAAGGCACUUAUGGAGCUUUCUUGUAGGAUGGAUUAUUUCAGCUCCCCAUAGGACAUCCUGAUGUUUAACCUCCCUGCAAAUAUCCUGGGUCUUAAUCUACUCUCUAAGAUGGCAGGUUUUAAUCUUGGUGGAAACUGCUUUAUAACAGUGUGCAAAUAUCUUUCUGAGUCCCUGUUCUCAAUUCUUUUGGAUACAUACUUAGAAGUGUAAUUGAUGGAUGCUAUGAUGCUACUGUAUUUAAUGUCUUUUAAAGAACUGCUGCAUUGUUUUCUACAAUUCUUGUACCAUUUUGCAUUCCCAUAAGCCAUAAAUGAACGUUCAAAUUUCUCUGUACUGUGCCAAUGCUUCACUAUAAUAUUUUUGAAAAUAUCUAUAUUACAAAAAAAAUAAAGUUCAAAAGUAUUAUAUCACUUGCUCAAAGUAACAGUAUGAAUGUGUGGAAACAGUAAGCGUGGAGUUGUUUCAGCUUUUUUUUUUUUUUGGGAAAAUUAAAGAAUCUGUAUUCUUUGA
Molecule: long non-coding RNA, 7534 nt
Organism: Meriones unguiculatus (Mongolian gerbil)
Lineage: Eukaryota; Metazoa; Chordata; Mammalia; Rodentia; Muridae
Exons: 5
Source: RefSeq, a predicted model, not a curated record